GCCCAGACUCCUACGGGAGGCAGCAGUGGGGGAUAUUGCACAAUGGGGGAAACCCUGAUGCAGCGACGCCGCGUGAGUGAAGAAGUAUUUCGGUAUGUAAAGCUCUAUCAGCAGGGAAGAAAAAAGACGGUACCUGACUAAGAAGCCCCGGCUAACUACGUGCCAGCAGCCGCGGUAAUACGUAGGGGGCAAGCGUUAUCCGGAUUUACUGGGUGUAAAGGGAGCGUAGACGGCAAUACAAGUCGGAAGUGAAAUACCCGGGCUCAACCUGGGAACUGCUUUGGAAACUGUAUGGCUAGAGUGCUGGAGAGGUAAGCGGAAUUCCUAGUGUAGCGGUGAAAUGCGUAGAUAUUAGGAGGAACACCAGUGGCGAAGGCGGCCUACUGGACGGUGACUGACGCUGAGGCUCGAAAGCGUGGGGAGCAAGCAGGAUUAGAUACCCGCGUACU
This 449-nucleotide ribosomal RNA is filed under the name uncultured bacterium. Its description in RNAcentral is "bacterial SSU rRNA". It matches the Rfam family "Bacterial small subunit ribosomal RNA", at positions 329 to 794 of the family's 1533-position model. The record is from RNAcentral.